UACGGGGGGAGUAAGCGUUGUUCGGAUUUACUGGGCGUAAAGGGCGCGUAGGCGGCCAGCACAAGGCAGUUGUGAAAUCUCCGAGCUUAACUCGGAAAGGUCAACUGAUACUGUGCGGCUAGAGUGCGGAAGGGGCAACUGGAAUUCUUGGUGUAGCGGUGAAAUGCGUAGAUAUCAAGAGGAACACCUGCGGCGAAGGCGGGUUGCUGGGACGGUACUGACGCUGAGACGCGAAAGCGUGGGGAGCGAACAGG
This 254-nucleotide ribosomal RNA is filed under the name uncultured bacterium. RNAcentral describes it as "partial 16S ribosomal RNA". It matches the Rfam family "Bacterial small subunit ribosomal RNA", at positions 524 to 776 of the family's 1533-position model. The record is from RNAcentral.